Long non-coding RNA from Oncorhynchus keta (chum salmon), 612 nucleotides. RefSeq lists it as uncharacterized. The transcript is spliced from 4 exons. Lineage: Eukaryota; Metazoa; Chordata; Actinopteri; Salmoniformes; Salmonidae. The record is from RefSeq and is a predicted model, not a curated record.
UGAUUCUGGGUUAUAGAGAAGGCUUAAUUGAGGUCAUCUGAUUCUGGGUUAUAGAGAAGGCUUAAUUGAGGUCAUCUGAUUCUGGGUUAUAGAGAAGGCUUAAUUGAGGUCAUCUGAUUCUGGGUUAUAGAGAAGGCUUAAUUGAGGUCAUCUGAUUCUGGGUUAUAGAGAAGGCUUAAUUGAGGUCAUCUGAUUCUGGGUUAUAGAGAAGGCUUAAUUGAGGUCAUCUGAUUCUGGGUUAUAGAGAAGGCUUAAUUGAGGUCAUCUGAUUCUGGGUUAUAGAGAAGGCUUAAUUGAGGUCAUCUGAUUCUGGGUUAUAGAGAAGGCUUAAUUGAGGUCAUCUGAUUCUGGGUUAUAGAGAAGGCUUAAUUGAGGUCAUCUGAUUCUGGGUUAUAGAGAAGGCUUAAUUGAGGUCAUCUGAUUCUGGGUUAUAGAGAAGGCUUAAUUGAGGUCAUCUGAUUCUGGGUUAUAGAGAAGGCUUAAUUGAGGUCAUCUGAUUCUGGGUUAUAGAGAAGGCUUAAUUGAGAUCAUCUGAUUCUGGGUUAUAGAGAAGGCUUAAUUGAGGUCAUCUGAUUCUGGGUUAUAGAGAAGGCUUAAUUGAGGUCAUCUGAU